AACGAACGCUGGCGGCAGGCUUAACACAUGCAAGUCGAACGCGUGUAGCAAUACACGAGUGGCGCACGGGUGAGUAACGCGUGGAUAUCUGCCUUUUGGUUCGGAAUAACCCCGGGAAACUGGGGCUAAUACCGGAUGGUUCCUUCGGGAUAAAGAUUUAUCGCCAAAAGAUGAGUCCGCGUCCGAUUAGCUAGUUGGUGAGGUAAUGGCUCACCAAGGCGACGAUCGGUAGCUGGUCGAGAGGACGAUCAGCCACACUGGGACUGAGACACGGCCCAGACUCCUACGGGAGGCAGCAGUGGGGAAUAUUGGACAAUGGGGGCAACCCUGAUCCAGCCAUGCCGCGUGAGUGAUGAAGGCCUUCGGUUG
This 369-nucleotide ribosomal RNA is filed under the name uncultured bacterium. Its description in RNAcentral is "bacterial SSU rRNA". It matches the Rfam family "Bacterial small subunit ribosomal RNA", at positions 29 to 425 of the family's 1533-position model. The record is from RNAcentral.